Molecule: long non-coding RNA, 578 nt
Organism: Impatiens glandulifera
Lineage: Eukaryota; Viridiplantae; Streptophyta; Magnoliopsida; Ericales; Balsaminaceae
Exons: 3
Source: RefSeq, a predicted model, not a curated record
AAGGUUUUAUUAGGGUUGAUUUGGAACAAUUAGUAAAGGAAGCUGAAAAUCUAGCUAUGAGGAAAGUCAUAAACAAAAUCAGAAUGGAAUCGCCUGAAGAAGACAGUGACUGGUUUAAAAAAUCUUAUCAUCUCAAUGAGACAGAUUUUGUUGGAAUAACCAUGAUGGAUUUUCAGGAAGCAAUCAUAAAGUUCCAGCCUUCAUUGAAAAAAGAAUGGUUUUCUAUUAUCCCCGAAGUGAAAUGGGAAGAAGACAUAGGUGGGAUGGAACCAAUAAGGCACGAGUUUAUGCGUUCCAUUGUUCAACGUAUUAAAAAUCCUGACGAUAUGGUGAUCAAUGUUCCUUCAUUUUAAUGAAACAGGUUAAGUUUUAUUUUUGUGUACUGUAUUUAUAAUCUGGAUAUUUCAGAAUGUUCAAACAGAGAAAGGUUUUUUGCUUUAUGGACCUACUGGCUGUGGUAAAACAUUAAUUGCAAAGGCUGUGGUCAAUGAAGCUGGGGCUAGUUUUAUACACAUUAAGGGUCUUGAACUUUUACAAAAAUAUGGGAGAGAAAGUGAAUGGGCAGUUAAAACUAUGUU